This 443-nucleotide ribosomal RNA is filed under the name uncultured bacterium. Its description in RNAcentral is "SSU rRNA". It matches the Rfam family "Bacterial small subunit ribosomal RNA", at positions 26 to 518 of the family's 1533-position model. The record is from RNAcentral.
AGAACGAACGCUGGCGGCAGGCUUAACACAUGCAAGUCGAGCGCCCCGCAAGGGGAGCGGCAGACGGGUGAGUAACGCGUGGGAAUCUACCCAUCUCUACGGAACAACUCCGGGAAACUGGAGCUAAUACCGUAUACGCCCUUCGGGGAAAGAUUAUCGGAGAUGGAUGAGCCCGCGUUGGAUUAGCUAGUUGGUGGGGUAAAGGCCUACCAAGGCGACGAUCCAUAGCUGGUCUGAGAGGAUGAUCAGCCACACUGGGACUGAGACACGGCCCAGACUCCUACGGGAGGCAGCAGUGGGGAAUAUUGCACAAUGGGCGCAAGCCUGAUGCAGCGACGCCGCGUGGGGGAUGACGGCCUUCGGGUUGUAAACCUCUUUCAGCAGGACGAAGCGUGAGUGACGGUACCUGCAGAGAGCGCCGGCCACUACGUGCCAGCAGCCGC